Long non-coding RNA from Hevea brasiliensis (rubber tree), 1536 nucleotides. RefSeq lists it as uncharacterized. The transcript is spliced from 3 exons. The record is from RefSeq and is a predicted model, not a curated record. NCBI's taxonomy places the organism in Eukaryota, Viridiplantae, Streptophyta, Magnoliopsida, Malpighiales, Euphorbiaceae.
UAACCCUUAUCUCAUUCUCUCAUCUUAUCAAUUUUAGUCUUCUACUUCAGCCGCCUCUCUCUAUUCCCAUUCUCUCAUCUGCCAUCGCCCUAUCUCCCUCAACCUCUCUCUCAUCUCAGUCUCGUAGACUGCCCUCAAGCUCGCUGCUUAGCUCGCUUCUCACAGAGUUCAUCUAAGAAUGCUACAGAAGUUCAGUUAUGUCCAGAAAUAAAGCAGCUCUUGAAAGAGGCGAGCUCCUUUUCACAGCCAUCAACAUUUGCUCAAGCUGUAAAACUUAGGAGGUUAGCUGCUGCAAAGGAGAAGGAACUUGCAAAUCAUAAGGCUAUUUGCAAUUGCAGUGAUUAAUUUUCCUUUACAUAAAUGCUGACAUAAUUAUUGCAUAAGUUUAUACAACCAUAAUUUCUCAAGCCUGCUACUUGUACAUGUUGCAUAAAUCUAUGGAACAAUUAAUAAUGCAUUUACAAAAAAAAUUAUGGUUCAUGGUUUUUCUCUCUCUCUAUGUUAGCAAGUGUCUAAUAUAAAAAUUUAGUAAAUUUUUUUCCAUGAGCCGCCACCCUGACUUGCCCAAUUAAAGGCAAGGUGACCAUGUCCCAUUUGCAAAUAUCCCUCUAUACUUUUGCUUGUGGUUGACCCUAGGGGUUUUCUUGCCAAUCCUGUCAUACUUCUUACUUUCGUUAAUUUAAUAUUUAAUAUAUUUCUUUAUUUAAUAUAAAUUAUAAAUUUAUAUAUUUAUUAAUGAUUUGAUUUUAUAUAGAUUUAUUUUUUAAAAAAAUAAAAAAUAUAUUUUUAAAUAUUUAAAUAAUCAAAUGUGGUUUUUAAAGAAAUUAAAAGAAUUUUUAUUUCUUCACUUUUGUCAUAUUAAUAAGAAAAUACUGAGUAUUAAAUUAUCAUAAAAAACGCAUAUCCUUAUUUAGAAAAAAAAAAUAAAUCCUUCGAUCUUCUAACAAAUAUUAGAUUCGAGUUUUUACUCUCUUAAUUUCUUAUAAAAAAAUACCUCCCUCUCUCUUAGUUUUCUUGUAACUUACUUUUUUUUUUUUAAUUCAAAUCAAUCAUUCACUGAAAUAACCUGAAUAUGACUCAUUUAUCACCUUUUUAUUAUAUGCACAAUAAAAAUUUAAUAUAAACUUUUUUUAUCAUCUUUAAUUUGUGUAAAUUUUGCUAUAUCAUGAAUAUUAGAUCGUGAGAUGAUCUAUCCCUGAUCCGAGGUUCAAAUUGAUUUCAUUGUUAGGGUUGUACCAGGGAUAUAGGUGAUGAAUCCCUAUUUGAUGCUAGCUGCAACAUUGGAGCCAAUCAUGGUGGAGAAGAUAUGGUUUUCAUCUAAAGGGCACUUUAAGUUUGGUUUAUUAUUUAUGUUUUGGGAGUUUUGUGAAAUCUUGUAUUAGUUAAUUCAUGAUAUCAUUAUAUGCAUAACUAUUAUUGAUAAGCGUUCCUAUUGCAAUAGUGGCUUUACCACUCCUAUUAAUAUUAGUAGCUUUAUUUGAAGUGAUUGGGUUUGUUUGAAUAAUGUUGUAGUUUGGGUGGUGUAAAGUGGAAGUA